This is a small nucleolar RNA of Cephalotus follicularis, 107 nucleotides long. It matches the Rfam family "Plant small nucleolar RNA R71". Rfam says of the family: R71 is a member of the C/D box family of snoRNAs containing the C (UGAUGA) and D (CUGA) box motifs. Multiple nearly identical copies of this snoRNA have been identified in Arabidopsis, and it is thought to function as a 2'-O-ribose methylation guide for 18S ribosomal RNA. The record is from Rfam. NCBI's taxonomy places the organism in Eukaryota, Viridiplantae, Streptophyta, Magnoliopsida, Oxalidales, Cephalotaceae.
ACGACAUGAUGAGGACAUUUUCGAAUGAGGUCCUUUAAUCUUUCCCAUGAUUCAUGGAACAGCUCACCAUCUUGCUGCGAGAAGCUAGUUAGAUCUCAUCUUAUCUG